Molecule: ribosomal RNA, 598 nt
Filed under: uncultured bacterium
Lineage: Bacteria
Description: bacterial SSU rRNA
Rfam family: Bacterial small subunit ribosomal RNA (bases 1-525)
Source: RNAcentral
CCUACGGGAGGCAGCAGUGGGGAAUAUUGCACAAUGGGCGCAAGCCUGAUGCAGCGACGCCGCGUGAGGGAUGACGGCCUUCGGGUUGUAAACCUCUUUCAGUAGGGAAGAAGCGAAAGUGACGGUACCUGCAGAAGAAGCGCCGGCUAACUACGUGCCAGCAGCCGCGGUAAUACGUAGGGCGCAAGCGUUAUCCGGAAUUAUUGGGCGUAAAGAGCUCGUAGGCGGUUUGUCGCGUCUGCCGUGAAAGUCCGGGGCUCAACUCCGGAUCUGCGGUGGGUACGGGCAGACUAGAGUGAUGUAGGGGAGACUGGAAUUCCUGGUGUAGCGGUGAAAUGCGCAGAUAUCAGGAGGAACACCGAUGGCGAAGGCAGGUCUCUGGGCAUUAACUGACGCUGAGGAGCGAAAGCAUGGGGAGCGAACAGGAUUAGAUACCCUGGUAGUCCAUGCCGUAAACGUUGGGCACUAGGUGUGGGGGACAUUCCACGUUUUCCGCGCCGUAGCUAACGCAUUAAGUGCCCCGCCUGGGGNGACGCGCGAGACGAACACAANAGAGUAGACGCGUGAGACGNGCCGACGGACGACGACGAGGGAGAGG